AAAUACAUAAUUUCCAUCCAAUACCAAAAAUAACAGACUUCUCUCCAACCAGUCUGGAUUUAUAUUAUUUAUGUAAUCACAGACUUUUUUUUGUCCAAAACACAUACAGCUUUCAAUAAACAACAAUCAUAAUCUUCCAAUAACUCCUCAUAUAAUUCAAUCACUCAGUAUUCUAAUUACAUAAUCAAUAACUCAUAAAUCAAUCUCUGAUUUAUUCCAUAGACUUACUUCUCAGUAUUCGAAACUAUUCAUUACUCUUCAAUAACAAAGAAAAACAAAGAGAUAGCACCAAGCUUAACCUCGGUUCAUGACUAUUGCAGUCUAGCCCUCAAAAUAACUUCUGCAACUCCUAUAUACUUACUUUUU
This 366-nucleotide long non-coding RNA is filed under the name Physcomitrium patens. RNAcentral's name for it is "long non-coding RNA (PPAT_LNC009330)". The record is from RNAcentral. Lineage: Eukaryota; Viridiplantae; Streptophyta; Bryopsida; Funariales; Funariaceae.